AGAGUUUGAUCCUGGCUCAGAUUGAACGCUGGCGGAAUGCUUUACACAUGCAAGUCGAGCGGCAGCGCGGGGGCAACCCUGGCGGCGAGCGGCGAACGGGUGAGUAAUGCAUCGGAACAUAUCCAAUUGUGGGGGAUAACCUGGCGAAAGCCAGGCUAAUACCGCAUGAGCUCGAGAGAGGAAAGCGGGGGACCGUAAGGCCUCGCGCGAUUGGGUUGGCCGAUGUCCGAUUAGCUAGUUGGUGGGGUAAAGGCUUACCAAGGCGAUGAUCGGUAGCUGGUCUGAGAGGAUGAUCAGCCACACUGGGACUGAGACACGGCCCAGACUCCUACGGGAGGCAGCAGUGGGGAAUUUUGGACAAUGGGGGCAACCCUGAUCCAGCCAUUCCGCGUGAGUGAGGAAGGCCUUCGGGUUGUAAAGCUCUUUUGUCCGGAGCGAAACGGUUAGCGUGAAUAUCACUGACUACUGACGGUACCGGAAGAAUAAGCACCGGCUAACUACGUGCCAGCAGCCGCGGUAAUACGUAGGGUGCGAGCGUUAAUCGGAACUACUGGGCGUAAAGCGUGCGCAGGCGGGUUUUUAAGCCAGACGUGAAAUCCCCGGGCUUAACCUGGGAAUGGCGUUUGGGACUGGAAGUCUGGAGUGCGGCAGAGGAGACUGGAAUUCCUGGUGUAGCGGUGAAAUGCGUAGAUAUCUGGAGGAACACCGGUGGCGAAGGCGGCAUCCUGGACUGUAACUGACACUGAGGAACGAAAGCCAGGGGAGCAAACGGGAUUAGAUACCCUGGUAGUCC
RNAcentral lists this ribosomal RNA (793 nucleotides) under uncultured bacterium. RNAcentral describes it as "bacterial SSU rRNA". It matches the Rfam family "Bacterial small subunit ribosomal RNA", at positions 8 to 796 of the family's 1533-position model. The record is from RNAcentral.